GAUGAACGCUGGCGGCGUGCCUAAUACAUGCAAGUCGAGCGAACAGACGAGGAGCUUGCUCCUCUGACGUUAGCGGCGGACGGGUGAGUAACACGUGGAUAACCUACCUAUAAGACUGGGAUAACUUCGGGAAACCGGAGCUAAUACCGGAUAAUAUAUUGAACCGCAUGGUUCAAUAGUGAAAGACGGUUUUGCUGUCACUUAUAGAUGGAUCCGCGCCGCAUUAGCUAGUUGGUAAGGUAACGGCUUACCAAGGCGACGAUGCGUAGCCGACCUGAGAGGGUGAUCGGCCACACUGGAACUGGGACACGUUCCAGACACCAACGGGAGACAGCAGUAGGGAAUCUGCCGCAAUGGACGAAAGCCUAACGGAACAACGCCGCGUGAGUGAUGAAGGUCUUCGGAUCGUAAAACUCUGUUAUUAGGGAAGAACAAAUGUGUAAGUAGCUAUGCACGUCUUGACGGUACCUAAUCAGAAAGCCACGGCUAACUACGUG
Molecule: ribosomal RNA, 497 nt
Filed under: uncultured bacterium
Lineage: Bacteria
Description: partial 16S ribosomal RNA
Rfam family: Bacterial small subunit ribosomal RNA
Source: RNAcentral